Molecule: long non-coding RNA, 716 nt
Organism: Hemibagrus wyckioides
Lineage: Eukaryota; Metazoa; Chordata; Actinopteri; Siluriformes; Bagridae
Exons: 3
Source: RefSeq, a predicted model, not a curated record
CUGAGGACCAUCUCACUGGAACUCAGGUAAGGGCUAAUUCAUUGUGGAAUUACAAAAUGUUGUUAACUGCAGUGACUAAUUUUGUGUUUGUGUGUAUUAAGGUCGAUGAGGCCGUACGAUGAGCUGCUGCCCACCGCAUCUCACGAUGACCCUUCACCUUUCGUUCUGAUAAGCAAACUAUUCAUUUAUUUACUAAACCCAAUCACUGCAGUUUACAAGGUUGUGGGGUGGUUUUUGGUUAAGGAAAGCGACAGAACGUUAGACGUGUUAGUAUGAAACUGCCAUGAGAAGAAGCACUUAUGAUCUUUAUGCUCUACUUUUUACAGCCUCUCACCGCUGGAAUACUGGACCUCGCCUGGAAGAACAUUCAGUUCCUCCCUGCUGACUACUUCUGCUCCCAGUCUUGGGUAUUGUACAGAGCUGCAGCUGAGAUACAAACACCAUUAGUUACAAGUUCUAAUGUUUAGUUUUGUUUUUGUAUUUCUAGUCAGUGGAAAUGAAGACCUACUUCCUCAGGAUGAUAAGGGGUCCGGAGAGUGUGGUCUGCUGGUUUAAUACCACCAAGACCUGCUUCUUGAACCACAUGGGAAUCCCUUAUGAUGCCUGUGUUGAGGACUCUUUCACUGGCAUUAAGAGCGUAUCUGGGAGGGUUACAGAAUACAUCUGCUGUAACCUCAUGGAAUCAUCCGUCAUUGUGGCACUGCAGGAUUUUGUGG